GCGCCUGGCGCGGCCCCGGCGCAGAGCAGCGCAGCGCGGCCGCCCGCCCUCGGUUCGGAGGAGGAGGAGGCGGUGGCGGCGGGUGAUGCAGGGCCUCAUGCGGCGGCGGCGGGAGCGCUUCCGCUCCGCAGUGGGAGAGGCCCGCAGGUGGGGGUGGCCGCUCUCCCGCCUUCUCGUCCCGGCCUCAACCCGCGCCUGAGGGGGAGCCGAGGGGGGGGGAGCGCGCGCGCCGCCUGAGGGGAGCUGCCCGCCGCCCGCGCUGUCGCGAUAGGCGUCUCGGCGCAGGGGCGUUAGCGCCGAGCUGCCCCGGCGCAUGUCGUGACAGGAGUCGUCAGCCUGCUUGCGCGAGCUCUGCCCGCCGUUCUGUCGUGACAGGAGCUUCAGCCGGAGGGAGGCUCCUGAGCAGCUACAACUGAUGUUGGUGUGAUGUUGAUGUCUGAGCAAUGAUGCUGUGUGUCUUCUGUCGUGUGACAUAAAACUGCAGGUGUCAGACAAGAGGACUGGAAGAUAAAACUGGGUCUGAUUCAGCUGCUGUAUCAAAGAAAAAAUCCCUUAUUAUGAAACUCCAGUAUCCAUGACUCUCCACAGAGAAUAUAAUACUGUAAGCAUUGCUGAACCUGCUGUGAAGAGUUCAUCUGAUUCUAAUGGAACUGCACAGUAACAAGCUGUACAUCUUUUCACAGGAUCAGUUAAGAGUUGCUUCUCUUAAGCUGUCUGCAACUGCUUUACAUGACAACGCCAUAAAAUCAGGGAACUGGAUGUUCUACAGUUAGAACUUGAGCCAUCAGUCACAGAGGAAGAAUACAGAGCUAAAUCCAGCAGACCUUAUUUUGGCAAAACUCCCACUGAAGUCAGUGAGGGUUUGUGAAAGUAAGGACGGCAUGAUUUGUCUCACAGUUCCUGCUGAUUAUUUGGAAUAUGCUUGCUCCCCCCUCAAACACCCCAGCUCCUCACCGCAUUUGACCUCACCACGGCGCAGUGUCUUACAGCUGUUUUUUGUCUGUAAACUGGAAUCAUGAAAAUCAGUGUAACGCAAUUGUGAAAAAUACCCUUUUCACCCAAUGACCUUGGAAGAAAACAGAGUGCCUUGGGAGUUUGGAGGCUGCUACUGUAGAUCUAACACAACAGAAACCGAGACACUGAGAAUUUGGACAAUCCAUUUUAAAUUCAUGCUGAGAAUUUAAGGAACUCUUUAAACAAGCUGGAAAUAGGUCAAAUUCUGAUUGUUAAAAAACAACUAACCAACUGGGUGUUGCCCAGACAGGUGGUACCUUGUGAUAAAAUUGUUGAUUCGUGUAAUACUUCCUCACUGGAACACUGGCACGUCCACGAAAAUUUCAAUUCUGUUUCCAUUACAAAUUGCAAUAGAGAAAGGCAGCGGAAGAGUUAACAGCGUUCCUUCAGCAGGAAACUCACUGCUACAAAUGAUAACCCAGGGCACACGUUCAGAUGCAGUUCUUUAUUUUUUUCACUUCAGUCUGAGCAAAUACAGGGCCAAUGAAAGAAACCAGAGCUGCGAGCAUCAGUGCUCUCCUCAUCCACAGACAAGAUGACAGAGUAACGGCUUCCCACACCCCACUGUGUCAAUGUGUCAUGACCCUUCUCCCGAGGGGACACCUUUCGGGUGACAGCACUUCGGCCUCUGUGGUCUUACACUCAUACAUCUGUCUGCCUUCAUGUGGAAGCUGGCUCCGGGCUCACCAAGCACUGCCGGGGCGGUGAUUUAGGAAUUAGACUGAUACUGCCAGAUCACCCUGCACAGAUCUCUUGCUGAGGACGCCACCAGGUAGUUAACAGUGAGCUUCCCGUCACGGUUCAUCUAGGCCAGACGUGAAUAGUGAUCGAAGAAGCAACUCUGCUUUGUUUCCAGUUCCUGAACCAGCAAGUCACUCGAGAGCAGAUUUUGUACCACUUAUUGGGUACUAUACUAUCCCUGCUCAUUAAUGGGAACAUCCUCCACUCGAGGGCAUCUUCUAGGCACUGAACUGUUGCUCAACACUUCUGCUGUGUUGUGUUUUGUAACAGUAAGCAACAUCAUACUGUAGGAAAGUCUUACCAAGAAAACUCUGGAAAUCAGUAUAUGUGAACAUAAUAAAUACAACAGCAGGGUCUAACUUUUAUGAUUGCGGAUACCUAUAUGCAUGUGACAUUAGUAGUACUAUCCAUGUGAGUAAAGAUAUACAAAUAAGGAAUCCUAGAUUUGAGUUACUUAAGGAACUCUAAAAACAUUUAUUUUAUUUAUUAUAGUUCAAAUGGAAGCAAAACGGUACCAGUAAUAUCAAAAUAAUCUGAUAUCCAGAUGGUACAAUGGCUGGUCAUAUACUUUGGUAGAUGUACUGUUUCCUCCUAUCUAUUUCUGAUGCCUGCAAUUAUCUCAUCUCAACAUGACUAAAUAAAUGCAAAGCUGCAGAAUCCUA
Long non-coding RNA from Tyto alba (common barn owl), 2417 nucleotides. RefSeq lists it as uncharacterized. Lineage: Eukaryota; Metazoa; Chordata; Aves; Strigiformes; Tytonidae. The transcript has 5 exons. The record is from RefSeq and is a predicted model, not a curated record.